UUCAUCCGACUAAGAUUUUGAUCCUAGGAGAAAAUUCGUUAUACUAGGUCCUUUUUUUGUUAUUUUAGGAGAAAGAUUCAUCAUACUAAGAUUUUUAUCCUAGGAGAAAAUUCAUUAGACUAGGUUUUAUAUCUUAAGAGAAAGAUUCAUCAGACUAAGAUUUUGAUCCUAGGAGAAAGUUCAUCAGACUAGGUCUUCUAUCUUAGGAGAAAGAUUCAUCAGACUAAGAUUUUGAUCCUAGGAGAAAAUUCAUCAAACUAGGUCCCUUUUUGUUAUCUUAGGAGAAAGAUUCAUCAGACUAAGAUUUCUAUCAUAGGAGAAAGUUCAUCAGACUAUGUCUUCUAUCUUAGGAGAAAGAUUCAUCAGACUAAGAUUUUGAUCCCAGGAGAAAAUUCAUCAAACUAGGCCCCUUUUUUGUUAUCUUAGGAGAAAGAUUCGUCAAACUAAGAUUUCUAUUUAUUAUCUUAGGAGAAAGAUUCAUCCGAUUAAGAUUUGAUCCUAGCAGAAAGAUUCAUCAGACUAGGGCUUCUAUCUUAGGAGAAAAAUUCCUCAGACUAAGAUUCUAUUGGGAAGAAAAUCCAUCAGACUAGGACUUUUUAUCCUAGGAGGCAAAAUGUGACGACCAAAUGACAAAAUUUUAUGCACAUGAGCAAAAUAGAAAAAGGCAAAAUUUGAGAAACUUCCCUUUGUCGGCUCUUCUC
RNAcentral lists this long non-coding RNA (701 nucleotides) under Nicotiana tabacum (common tobacco). RNAcentral describes it as "long non-coding RNA (NTAB_LNC018315)". The record is from RNAcentral. Lineage: Eukaryota; Viridiplantae; Streptophyta; Magnoliopsida; Solanales; Solanaceae.